GAUGAACGCUGGCGGCGUGCCUAAUACAUGCAAGUCGAACGCAUAGCGAAAGGUGCUUGCACCUUUCAAGUGAGUGGCGAACGGGUGAGUAACACGUGGACAACCUGCCUCAAGGCUGGGGAUAACAUUUGGAAACAGAUGCUAAUACCGAAUAAAACUUAGUGUCGCAUGACACAAAGUUAAAAGGCGCUUCGGCGUCACCUAGAGAUGGAUCCGCGGUGCAUUAGUUAGUUGGUGGGGUAAAGGCCUACCAAGACAAUGAUGCAUAGCCGAGUUGAGAGACUGAUCGGCCACAUUGGGACUGAGACACGGCCCAAACUCCUACGGGAGGCUGCAGUAGGGAAUCUUCCACAAUGGGCGAAAGCCUGAUGGAGCAACGCCGCGUGUGUGAUGAAGGCGUUCGGGUCGUAAAGCACUGUUGUAUGGGAAGAACAGCUAGAAUAGGAAAUGAUUUUAGUUUGACGGUACCAUACCAGAAAGGGACGGCUAAAUACGUG
This 497-nucleotide ribosomal RNA is filed under the name uncultured bacterium. RNAcentral's name for it is "partial 16S ribosomal RNA". It matches the Rfam family "Bacterial small subunit ribosomal RNA", at positions 28 to 507 of the family's 1533-position model. The record is from RNAcentral.